RNAcentral lists this ribosomal RNA (432 nucleotides) under uncultured bacterium. Its description in RNAcentral is "partial 16S ribosomal RNA". It matches the Rfam family "Bacterial small subunit ribosomal RNA", at positions 29 to 507 of the family's 1533-position model. The record is from RNAcentral.
AACGAACGCUGGCGGCAUGCCUAACACAUGCAAGUCGAACGAGACCUUCGGGUCUAGUGGCGCACGGGUGCGUAACGCGUGGGAACCUGCCCUUAGGUUCGGAAUAACUCCCCGAAAGGGGUGCUAAUACCGGAUAAUGUCUUCGGACCAAAGAUUUAUCGCCUUUGGAUGGGCCCGCGUUGGAUUAGCUAGUUGGUAGGGUAAAAGCCUACCAAGGCGACGAUCCAUAGCUGGUCUGAGAGGAUGAUCAGCCACACUGGGACUGAGACACGGCCCAGACUCCUACGGGAGGCAGCAGUGGGGAAUAUUGGACAAUGGGCGAAAGCCUGAUCCAGCAAGCCGCGUGAGUGAUGAAGGCCUUAGGGUUGUAAAGCUCUUUUACCCGGGAUGAUAAUGACAGUACCGGGAGAAUAAGCUCCGGCUAACUCCGUG